GAAGUCUGGCAAGGCAGGCCCUGCACCCAAACAAGUCUGAGCACUCUCUGCAAUGUUACUUUUGCUGGAUGAAGCCAGGAAUUCUGGGUGCUUGGGGUUGCCCAAUACCAUUGAUUUGUGAGUCAUGUUGCAUCGCGAAACUCAUGCAGCUUUUCCCCAGUUGGACUGUUCUUCUCUUGAGAAUGAUGUCCACCAAUGUGAAUUCAACAUGGCAAAAGCUCUGAUUGAUGAUCCUGCACUGACAUUGGAGCAGAUUUCUGUUCUGAAGAAUGAGUUGCAAAAGAUGGAUAUACUGAGGGAGUUGGCGGAUCUGCUUCGUCUCGUGUUGAUUGUCAACCCGGGCGAACAACCCUCUGCUAUUCAUGU
RNAcentral lists this small RNA (366 nucleotides) under Histoplasma ohiense. Its description in RNAcentral is "hypothetical lncRNA". Lineage: Eukaryota; Fungi; Ascomycota; Eurotiomycetes; Onygenales; Ajellomycetaceae. The record is from RNAcentral.